This 468-nucleotide ribosomal RNA is filed under the name uncultured bacterium. RNAcentral describes it as "partial 16S ribosomal RNA". It matches the Rfam family "Bacterial small subunit ribosomal RNA", at positions 28 to 507 of the family's 1533-position model. The record is from RNAcentral.
GACGAACGCUGGCGGCGUGCUUAACACAUGCAAGUCGAACGGAAAGGCCCUGCUUUUGUGGGGUGCUCGAGUGGCGAACGGGUGAGUAACACGUGAGUAACCUGCCCUUGACUUUGGGAUAACUUCAGGAAACUGGGGCUAAUACCGGAUAGGAGCUCCUGCUGCAUGGUGGGGGUUGGAAAGUUUCGGCGGUUGGGGAUGGACUCGCGGCUUAUCAGCUUGUUGGUGGGGUAGUGGCUUACCAAGGCUUUGACGGGUAGCCGGCCUGAGGGGGUGACCGGCCACAUUGGGACUGAGAGACGGCCCAGACUCCUACGGGAGGCAGCAGUGGGGAAUAUUGCACAAUGGGCGGAAGCCUGAUGCAGCAACGCCGCGUGCGGGAUGACGGCCUUCGGGGUGUAAACCGCUUUCGCCUGUGACGAAGCGUGAGUGAAGGUAAUGGGUAAAGAAGCACCGGCUAACUACGUG